RNAcentral lists this ribosomal RNA (212 nucleotides) under uncultured Isochrysis. RNAcentral's name for it is "partial Bacterial small subunit ribosomal RNA". It matches the Rfam family "Bacterial small subunit ribosomal RNA", at positions 1 to 241 of the family's 1533-position model. The record is from RNAcentral. Lineage: Eukaryota; Haptophyta; Isochrysidales.
AUGGAGAGUUUGAUCCUGGCUCAGGAUGAACGCUGGCGGUAUGCUUAACACAUGCAAGUCGAACGAGAGUUUUUAACUCUAGUGGCGAACGGGUGCGUAAUACGUGAGAAUCUGCCCCUAGGAGAAGAAUAACUACUGGAAACGGUAGCUAAGUCUUCAUAUGCUGAGAGGUAAAAUAGUUUAAACUGCCUAGGGAUGAGCUCACGCCUGAU